ACUAAAAGAUGGUUAUUCUUUUAUAGCCUCAGACAACAUAAUGGUGAGCUGAAAGGUGGUGCAAAAGCUUCCUGUGCAGGAAGGCCAUGGGUUUGUGCAUGCAUCAUUCAAGGAUUUAAGGAUCAAAGUGAAGCAUGUGAGUUUGAAUCAAAAUGGAAAAGUUUUUCGCGGAAACUGCCCCGGAAAAGGAAAAAUGACGAUACGGGUAAACAUCUUCUUCUGUUGCAACACAGGCAAGUAGCUCUAAAUAGAGUCAAAGAUUCAAUCAAUUGUAGUCACCUAGAAAUUGACUGGCAAUUGAGUCCUUCCUGAUUCAUAAAUUCCAUUUUCUUUAUCUUUUUCUUUUUUUGCUUAUUGUAUUUGUAUUAUUCCUCGAUGUGUUAAGCACUAGAGGCAAUGGAAGUGAUGUAUAACUAGCCUUGAACCCAUGCAAUGCAUGAAUAAAUAUUGGAAAAAAAACUGUUAAUAGAAUUAAUAAUUAUUAUUGUAUAUCUUUGAACUAUUACAUAACAUGUAAAUUAAAUAUGGUUACAAAUUAAA
Non-coding RNA from Camellia sinensis, 540 nucleotides. The record is from RefSeq and is a predicted model, not a curated record. NCBI's taxonomy places the organism in Eukaryota, Viridiplantae, Streptophyta, Magnoliopsida, Ericales, Theaceae.